Molecule: ribosomal RNA, 253 nt
Filed under: uncultured bacterium
Lineage: Bacteria
Description: partial 16S ribosomal RNA
Rfam family: Bacterial small subunit ribosomal RNA
Source: RNAcentral
UACGUAGGAUGCAAGCGUUGUCCGGAAUUAUUGGGCGUAAAGAGCGCGCAGGCGGUCUAUCAAGUCAGAUGUGAAAUAUCCAGGCUUAACCUGGAGGGGUCAUUUGAAACUGGUAGACUAGAGUACAGCAGAGGAUAGUGGAAUUCCCGGUGUAGUGGUGAAAUGCGUAGAUAUCGGGAGGAACACCAGUGGCGAAGGCGACUAUCUGGGCUGAAACUGACGGCUGAGGCGCGAAGGCUAGGGAGCAAACAGG